AGAGUUUGAUCAUGGCUCAGGAUGAACGCUAGCGGCAGGCUUAAUACAUGCAAGUCAAGGGGUCAGCAAUGGCACCGGCGGACGGGUGAGUAACGCGUACACAACGUACCUUUAACUGGGGGAUAGCAUCUGGAAACGGGUGGUAAUACCGCAUGUGGUUGCGAGGAGGCAUCUCUUUGUAACUAAAACUUAGGUGGUUAGAGAUCGGUGUGCGUCUGAUUAGCUAGUUGGUAGGGUAGAGGCCUACCAAGGCGACGAUCAGUAGGGGGCGUGAGAGCGUGGCCCCCACACGGGUACUGAGACACGGACCCGACUCCUACGGGAGGCAGCAGUAAGGAAUAUUGGUCAAUGGAGGGAACUCUGAACCAGCCAUGCCGCGUGAAGGAUGACGGCCCUCUGGGUUGUAAACUUCUUUUGGAUGGGGCGAAAAACGGGAUUUAUCCUGGACUGACGGUACCAUCAGAAUAAGCACCGGCUAACUCCGUG
This 486-nucleotide ribosomal RNA is filed under the name uncultured bacterium. Its description in RNAcentral is "bacterial SSU rRNA". It matches the Rfam family "Bacterial small subunit ribosomal RNA", at positions 8 to 507 of the family's 1533-position model. The record is from RNAcentral.